GCGGCAAGCAGUCGCUCGCCCAUUCCGUUGGGGUCGAGAUGCCUGCGGAAUAUGUUGAGAAGGCUUUGGCCGAGGGCUUCGACAAGACCAAUGCUGGGACAAAGCUGGCAGCUGAGAACCCAGG
RNAcentral lists this small nuclear RNA (124 nucleotides) under Scrippsiella trochoidea. RNAcentral describes it as "partial Dictyostelium signal recognition particle". Lineage: Eukaryota; Dinophyceae; Peridiniales; Peridiniaceae. The record is from RNAcentral.